CUAGCCGUAAACGAUGGAUACUAGGCGUUGUGAGUAUCGACCCUCACAGUGUCGUAGCUAACGCGUUAAGUAUCCCGCCUGGGGAGUACGCGCGCAAGCGUGAAACUCAAAGGAAUUGACGGGGGCCCGCACAAGCGGUGGAGUACGUGGUUUAAUUCGAUGCAACGCGAAGAACCUUACCAGGACUUGACAUGUCGCGAAUCUCAGGGAAACUUGAGAGUGCCUUCGGGAGCGCGAACACAGGUGGUGC
This 250-nucleotide ribosomal RNA is filed under the name uncultured Chroococcidiopsis sp. Its description in RNAcentral is "partial 16S ribosomal RNA". It matches the Rfam family "Bacterial small subunit ribosomal RNA", at positions 796 to 1044 of the family's 1533-position model. Lineage: Bacteria; Bacillati; Cyanobacteriota; Cyanophyceae; Chroococcidiopsidales; Chroococcidiopsidaceae. The record is from RNAcentral.